This 460-nucleotide ribosomal RNA is filed under the name uncultured bacterium. RNAcentral's name for it is "partial 16S ribosomal RNA". It matches the Rfam family "Bacterial small subunit ribosomal RNA", at positions 338 to 795 of the family's 1533-position model. The record is from RNAcentral.
CCUACGGGAGGCAGCAGUGAGGAAUAUUGGUCAAUGGACGAGAGUCUGAACCAGCCAAGUAGCGUGAAGGAUGACUGCCCUAUGGGUUGUAAACUUCUUUUAUAUGGGAAUAAAAUGUUCCACGUGUGGGAUUUUGUAUGUACCAUAUGAAUAAGGAUCGGCUAACUCCGUGCCAGCAGCCGCGGUAAUACGAAGGAUCCGAGCGUUAUCCGGAUUUAUUGGGUUUAAAGGGAGCGUAGGUGGAUUGUUAAGUCAGUUGUGAAAGUUUGCGGCUCAACCGUAAAAUUGCAGUUGAAACUGGCAGUCUUGAGUACAGUAGAGGUGGGCGGAAUUCGUGGUGUAGCGGUGAAAUGCUUAGAUAUCACGAAGAACUCCGAUUGCGAAGGCAGUUCACUGGACUGCAACUGACACUGAGGCUCGAAAGUGUGGGUAUCAAACAGGAUUAGAUACCCCUGUAGUC